Molecule: long non-coding RNA, 2181 nt
Filed under: Homo sapiens (human)
Lineage: Eukaryota; Metazoa; Chordata; Mammalia; Primates; Hominidae
Description: HSALNT0014307
Source: RNAcentral
UGUGGACACUGACCUAGCUGGUCUCAAAGGCCUCUUUCAAUUUUAACAUUCCCCCAUUCCAUUGACUAACACAGAGAUACUUUUAUUGCAGAAGUGCUUCGGUCAGGCAGUAUCUUUGAAAAUAAUUUGGCCAAUGAAAGCCCUGGCAUUGGAUGAAAGUGCUAGCUGCUGGGAAUGCUACCCCUCCUUUUGGUUCUCUUUCAAGUCCUUCAGGUUCAAACAAUACAGAAGUGUAUAAAGUAAGAAUUGAAAGUCUCUUCGCUGCUCUAAUCUCACUCCUCAGAGGUGAUCACUGGACCUGAGUGAGCAGAAGGCUUUUCAGAAUUACAGCCUGAACUAUUUCUUGAGCAAUUUGGGAACUCAUUUCUAAAGCAGUCCUCAGAUUCACACAACGUAGUUUGUGACGGAGUAUGCCCAGAGCAGUGUGGAAGAUGAUCAAAGUAUGACAUUUCUUCUACCCCAGAGGCUGGCAUUUCUGCAGGCACAAAUGAGCUUGGUUUUCAAGCACUGCUCUUUGAACACAAGGAAUUCCUUUAAUGAUCACGCCGGACUAUAUAGACUUUGGAAUCAGACUCUUUGAAUUCCAGCUCUGCCAUUUACCAACUUUGACACUUUGGACAACGUCUCAUUCUGUCACCCAGGCUGGAGUGCAGUGGCACAAUUAUAGCUCACUGCAGCCUCAAACACCUGGGCUCAAGCAAUCCUUCCACCUCUGCCUCCUGAGUAAUUGGGACUACAGGCAUGUGCCACCACACCCAGCUAAUUUUUAAUUUUUAAUUUUUUUGUAGAGAUGGCGGUCUUGCUAUGUCACCCAGGCUGGUCUUGAACACCUGGCCUCAAGUGAUCCUCCGGCCUUGGUCUCUCAAAGCUCUGGGAUUACAGACAUGAGCCACUGCACCCGGCUCUAUCUCCCCUUCCUAUGUGUGUUAGCUCUAGAACAAGAGAAGCCUUGUUGAGAUUCCUGGCUGCCCACCCCCCAUCACCUCUCUGACUUUGGGCAAGUUGCCUGGCCUCUCUCAGCCUUUAUUUUCUUUUUGUGAAAUGGGGAUAAUAAUAGUACUUGCCUCAUAGGCAAAAUGUUGUGAGAACUAAACGAGAAAAUGCAUGUAAAGCACUUGGCACUUAGUUCUUUUUAUGAUUAUAAUGAUAAUCAGACACAAUAAAUUAUGUCUCACAUCACAUGCUGUUUAGCCUAUUCACUGUUCUAUUUUUCCUGAAGUCAGUUCAGUGUGUAGCAUCCAGAAUUGAACAAAACACCCCCGAUGUGACCUGAUAGUGCAAAGUAAACUAUCAUCUCCUUCAUUCUAGGUAUUAUGUUUCUAUUAAUGCAGUCUAAAGGGUUUUGGAAAUCUGGAUUGUAGCAGGGCAUUUGAGAGAGCAGGCUACUUAUACUCUACUGAUCAGAUUACAAGUAUACUUAGUAAAGACAGAAAUAGUAUAGCCAUAAAAGAGUUUACCUUAAAAUGUCACCUGAUGUUAGUUGUCCCUCACUGAUUCAAGUAAUUUCCUUUAUUGAGGUGGAUCUGCCUGUUGGUGGAGAACCCUAGACUGCAUGCAGCCAUGCACAUGAUCUGGAGACACAGCAGAGACAAGGUCUUUGUCUGUUGCUCAGGAUGGAGUGUAGUGGUGCCAUAGCACACUGUAAUCUUGAAUUUCUGGACUACUGGCAUACACCACCAUGCUUAGGUUCGGGCCACAACAUCCGUGACUUUACCGGUUUUGGUCUCUUCCUUGUAACUUUCGGCUCCAGGAUGCUGCGCAGCUCCUCUCUGCACUAUCUAUCAGAACGUUGCUCUGCGUGCUUGAAAGUUUCGCCAAACAGAAGUACACAAAAACAAACAGAGGCGAAACACAAAUCCCCUCAGCCCUGGAGGAAAAGGCCUUGAAGCUCUUCCAGUGCAGAGGCCACGCAGAGGACAUGCUCCUACCUGUGCACAUCGGCCACGCCUGGGGUGCCUCCUGGAGUCCAGGCUGCUGGCGAUGGAAUCCAUCAUGUUGCUGAUGUCACUACUCUCAACUCCUGAUGGCAUCAGAACACAGGCAGCAUCAAGAUCAGGCUCAAGAUGCAGGAUUUUAUCAUCCAAAUCAGGCCCACAUAUGGAUGAAACCCUUCAGGUAUUCUGCACAUCUCUCAGGAAACCCAGAUGAAAUUGAGUGCCUGCUGCCCACAUCAGCAACCCA